CUACAGACGGACGACAGAGAUUGAAUCCACCACUCCUGCCUGGAUAUUUUGGAAAUGUAAUUUUCACCACGUCGUUGACGGCUUCAUCGGGUGAUAUCCUAAGUGAACCAUUGAAUCGUACUGUUGAAAGAAUUCAAAAAGCAUUAAAGCGGAUGGACGAUGAGUAUUUGAAAUCAGCACUUGCUUACCUAAAGCAACAGCCUGAUUUAAAUGCUCUACGGAAAGGAGGCCACAUUUAUAAGUGCCCUAACCUCAAUAUCGUCAAUUUGGCAAAUAUGCCAAUGUAUGAUGCGAAUUUUGGAUGGGGCCAGCCGAUAUUUG
This 321-nucleotide long non-coding RNA is filed under the name Citrus sinensis (sweet orange). RNAcentral describes it as "long non-coding RNA (CSIN_LNC000201)". Lineage: Eukaryota; Viridiplantae; Streptophyta; Magnoliopsida; Sapindales; Rutaceae. The record is from RNAcentral.